GAUGAAGAACGUAGCGAAAUGUGAUACGUAAUGUGAAUUGCAGAAUUCAGUGAAUCAUCGAAUCUUUGAACGCAUAUUGCGCUCUCUGGUAUUCCGGAGAGCAUGCUUGUUUGAGUAUCAGUAAACACCUCAACUUCCAUAUCUUUUUUGAAAUGGGAGUUGGACUUGAGUGAUCCCAACGCUUUUCCUCACCGAAAAGUGGCGGGUUACUUGAAAUGCAGGUGCAGCUGGACUUUUCUCUGAGCUAUAAGCAUAUCUAUUUAGUCUGCCUAAAAAACAGAUUAUUACCUUUGCUGCAGCUAACAUAAAGGAGAUUAGUUCUUGUGCUGACUGAUGCAGGAUUCACAAAGACAGGCUUCGGCCGACUUUGUAAACUCGAUCUCAAAUCAAGAAAGACUACCCGCUGAACUUAAGCAUAUCAAUAAGCGGAGGA
Molecule: unclassified non-coding RNA, 433 nt
Filed under: soil metagenome
Description: partial contains 5.8S ribosomal RNA, internal transcribed spacer 2, and large subunit ribosomal RNA
Rfam family: 5.8S ribosomal RNA (bases 1-120)
Source: RNAcentral